Molecule: long non-coding RNA, 1525 nt
Organism: Vicia villosa (hairy vetch)
Lineage: Eukaryota; Viridiplantae; Streptophyta; Magnoliopsida; Fabales; Fabaceae
Exons: 7
Source: RefSeq, a predicted model, not a curated record
CUUUUCAUUUCCUUUCACUCAUCUAAAGGGUUUUUGCGUUUCCGAAAGACAUAUGAUUUCGGCGUAGUGAAAAUCGUUGCUCGGUGGAUCUGCUUCUCCUCUUUCUGCUUUUUAGAUGAAACAACAAGAAGACAAGUUCUCAUGGUCUUUAACGAUAGUGUCAAGAAUGAUUUUGUCAAGGAUGAUUGUGUCCAUAUCUAUUUCUCUUCUUCAAAUAUAUUGAUUUUUGUAAAUCUAUGAUUUAUUUUCUUAUCCAAUCUGUACUCAUUUCCUCUUUUGCAUCCCAGAUUCAAAUUUAUAGUAUAUUUUUUCUUUUUCAAUUUGUAGUCAUUUCCUUUUCUGAAACCUAUUUUUUUUAGGUAUCAUUAAGCAAAACAAAACGAUGAGAACUCCGGAAACAAAAACACGGAUCGAAGGAGAUAAUGGCUGUAUGAUGGCUGUAUGAUUCAUUAUCUGAAGGAAGUGAUCACAAGUGUUGGAAUAAAUCUGAGUCAAUUACCGAGGAACGACCUCUCUUACGAACACAUCCUAUCCCGUAUCAGAUGUUGCAGGUGAAACUGCAACAUCCAUGGCAUCAACGUCUUUGGUUUUCAAAAAGAUGAAUCCUACAUAUUCAAUGGACAAGUUCAUGGCUGUGAAAGAUCAACCCGAGUAUAUAACUACACAUUGGAUCCAUGCGGUCCUGUUCAUAUCACGGUUGGUGGCGGUAGUAACUGGGAAAACAUAACCAUUACUCACGCGGAUUAACCAGGAAAUUCAUCUGUUGAAGCUUGCAGAAGGAAUAUUCAAUUCAAUGACAAGGAGAUAAUUUCAAUAGUGGAGUCUCAUCUCUCGCGUCUAUAUGCUAGAAAACCCUAAAGAAUUCGACGUUGAAAGGGGAUGGUUGCUACUAAUAUUCAACUUUUAUUCACCUUUUCAUCAAUGAUGUCAAUCGCAGAAGAUCUUUAGCCGAAGAUCUGUAAUUGGUGAUUUAUAACGCAACAUAAAGUUUUAUGAAAAGAUUAAGGAAAGCAUUGACUAAGCAGAUGAUGUUUUAUUACUUGUGGAAUCUGUGAAAAGAUUAAUAUAAACCAAAAACAAUGUUACUUUGAACCAGAAAGCAGUGGAUCAGCAGUCGCAGUAAACACCGCUGUCGGUCUUGUCAGUUGCGAGGACAUCUUAGACAUAGCCAGAAACCAACGCGUGAGCAUCUCCGAAAUCAAAGUUGGUGGAAACCACGUGAUUACCGAGUCGAUUGGGUCAUAAGUUGUAGUACAUCCUGUUGAACCUGAUGUGCCAAUGAAGGAUCCUGGUUUGGUUAUAGACAAGAAUGACAUAACCAUUGGAGAGGCGCUGGAAGCUUCUGCUUUAACUCCAGCUGGUGAUUUGCUAUUUAUUUGUCUAUUCAUUGAAUGUUGUUUAAUGACUUAAAACCAUUCAUUGCCUUUCUACCUUAUCACAUGUAAUAAUUGUGGCCAUGCUUCUGACUGAUAAAAGCUGCUUGGGUGCUUAGCCAUGACUUUUCAAUAAAAUUCAUUUUAAAAGU